CCUACGGGUGGCAGCAGUGGGGAAUAUUGCACAAUGGGGGAAACCCUGAUGCAGCGACGCCGCGUGAGUGAAGAAGUAUUUCGGUAUGUAAAGCUCUAUCAGCAGGGAAGAAAUACUGACCUUACGGUCAGCAGACGGUACCUGACUAAGAAGCCCCGGCUAACUACGUGCCAGCAGCCGCGGUAAUACGUAGGGGGCAAGCGUUAUCCGGAUUUACUGGGUGUAAAGGGAGCGUAGACGGCAGCGCAAGCCUGAAGUGAAAGCCCAUGGCUUAACACUGGAACUGCUUUGGAAACGGUGCGGCUGGAGUGCAGGAGGGGCAGGCGGAAUUCCUGGUGUAGCGGUGAAAUGCGUAGAUAUUAGGAGGAACACCGGUGGCGAAGGCGGCCUGCUGGACUGUGACUGACGUUGAGGCUCGAAAGCGUGGGGAGCAAACAGGAUUAGAUACCCCAGUAGUC
Molecule: ribosomal RNA, 458 nt
Filed under: uncultured bacterium
Lineage: Bacteria
Description: partial 16S ribosomal RNA
Rfam family: Bacterial small subunit ribosomal RNA
Source: RNAcentral